Molecule: small nucleolar RNA, 104 nt
Filed under: Cladophialophora yegresii CBS 114405
Lineage: Eukaryota; Fungi; Ascomycota; Eurotiomycetes; Chaetothyriales; Herpotrichiellaceae
Description: A. fumigatus snoRNA Afu_264
Rfam family: A. fumigatus snoRNA Afu_264
Source: Rfam by way of RNAcentral
UUCUAUGAUGACAAAACACGAAAAUAUUAUUAUUUCUGGUACCUCUUAUGCCAGAAGGGAAGCCCAGCAGGGUUCUCUUCGAUGAUCUAAAUGGACUUCUGAUC